GCUCUCCGGGGUUUUGUGUUCUCUCCCAACACCUUUCUGCAUUAUCACUUUGUAUUGAGAUAAGAGUUUAAUUUUUCAAGCAAAGUAUUUGGAGACAGAAGAGGUCAGUGGUUCUGAGGGCAGAGCCGAAGGCUGUUGCUACCCUUGUUCAUGCAAGAAGCAUCAAGAUGAAGAGAGCAGCCGCUGAUCUGACAUUGGUUCUGUCAGCAGCUACGUGACUGAAUGCAGAGCAGAAAGAAGGCUCAUGUGUAAAAGAUCCCUGGUGUGUUCCCACCUCUUGGAUACUUGGCCAAUAAAGCUGAAGAGGCAUUUUAGAGUCAGAGACAGCCCUGCCACGCGGCGCACAGGUUUAUAGCUCUGGGCAAAGGUUUCAACAAAUAUGAGCUCUUCACUCCAAAGUCUCCUCUCUGUGUGCUCCUGACCUAAGAACGGUGCAUUCCUGUCUGUGGGUCUAAUCCCGGGAGCCUGGGCAGCAGAGGCAGGAGGAGUUCCGAAAGGCCUUCUCAUUGCUCUGGAGAUAAUGACCAGCUCAGCAGGCCAGUGCUUCCUGGGACACCCAUGGACGUUCUCUCUCUUUUUUUUCAAACUGAUAAUUGUGUCUGCACUGACACAGGCAGUGUCUGUGAUAACUUCCACCUGAGGGGGUAAAUGGACGGAUCAUAACCCACAGAUUUGGUGAAAACACAUUUCUUAUCUAGGAUUAGGUCUGAUAAUCUGGAACCUGCAAGUAACAUAAUAAAGUUUCUGAUUCCCUAUCUGGGAUCUGGGUACAUGACCUGGGACAUAAAUCAGAAUCUCUCAUAGCUGUAUUGCCCUGCCCCAUGCCCCACCCCUCCCAUGAAGAUCGGCCACAGGGAAGGUGCUUGAAUUCUUUCUGGCCCUAAAGAUGUCUCUGAGCAAUCUGUUUCUUUAGCAUCUCACAUAAGUAUGGCGGACACAGCAGAGAAAGCUCACCUGGGGCCCAACUACAGUGCCAUCAGACAGACAUCUGGAUUGAAGCCAAUGUCUUGCGGCGGAGUUCAGCUCUGGCACUAACCUUUGAAUGAAUCACCUAAUCUGGAAAGGGGCCAAUUGGCCUAUGGAGCACCUGAAAGUGAAACAUGAUUCCCAGAGUGGGAAAGUAUGUCUGCCUUCCAAUCUCUGAUAAGAGUCCCUGGAAAACUGAAAACCACACAAAUGCUAACAAUG
Molecule: long non-coding RNA, 1188 nt
Organism: Myotis brandtii (Brandt's bat)
Lineage: Eukaryota; Metazoa; Chordata; Mammalia; Chiroptera; Vespertilionidae
Exons: 4
Source: RefSeq, a predicted model, not a curated record